CCUACGGGAGGCAGCAGUGAGGAAUAUUGGUCAAUGGACGAGAGUCUGAACCAGCCAAGCAGCGUGAAGGAUGACUGCCCUAUGGGUUGUAAACUUCUUUUAUAUGGGAAUAAAAUGUUCCACGUGUGGUCUUUUGUAUGUACCAUAUGAAUAAGGAUCGUCUAACUCCGUGCCAGCAGCCGCGGUAAUACGGAGGAGCCGAGCGUUAUCGGGAUUGAUUGGGUUUAACGGGUGCGUAGGCGGAUUGGUAAGUCAGUGGUGAAAGUUUGGGGCUCAACGGUGAAAUUGCAGUUGAUACUGGCAGUCUUGAGUACAGGAGAGGUGGGCGGAAUGCGUGGUGUAGCGGUGAAAUGCUUAGAUAUCAUGAAGAACUCCGAUUGCGAAGGCAGCUCACUGGACUGCAACUGACACUGAGGCUCGAAAGUGUGGGGAGCAAACAGGAUUAGAUACCCCUGUAGUC
RNAcentral lists this ribosomal RNA (460 nucleotides) under uncultured bacterium. Its description in RNAcentral is "partial 16S ribosomal RNA". It matches the Rfam family "Bacterial small subunit ribosomal RNA", at positions 338 to 795 of the family's 1533-position model. The record is from RNAcentral.